RNA transcript from Mirounga angustirostris (Northern elephant seal), 11055 nucleotides. It is a transcript of the gene named small nuclear RNA activating complex polypeptide 3, with no coding region annotated. The record is from RefSeq and is a predicted model, not a curated record. The transcript is spliced from 11 exons. NCBI's taxonomy places the organism in Eukaryota, Metazoa, Chordata, Mammalia, Carnivora, Phocidae.
CGCGAGGUCUUGAUCGCCCGGCUUUUGCAGGGAAAGGAGUGGGGCGAACAUGGCUGAAGGCAGCCGGGGCGGCCCAACGUGCCGCGGGAUGGACGGCAGGCAGGACCCGGUCUCCAGCAGUGGGAGCUGCAACUUUCCAGAGUACGAGCUUCCCGAGCUAAACACGCGCGCUUUCCAUGUGGGCGCUUUCGGGGAGCUGUGGCGUGGCCGGUUGCGCCGGGAAGGGGACUUGUCGCUGAAGGAGCCACAGGCAGCCGCGUUGCCUGGGAGCCAAGGGGUCGCCGACUGGGGCCAGGAAGAUGCUGCGGUGGCCCGGGACCUGGGCUGCAGCCUGGAGGCAGCAACCGAACUGCGGACGGUGUGCGGCCUUGAUAAACUCAAGUGCCUUGAGGAGGGUGAGGAUCCAGAUGUCGUCCCAGAGAAUACCGACCUAGUGACUUUGGGGGUUAGAAAGAAACUUCUGGAACAGCGGGAAGAAACCAUAACAAUAGAUCGGGUUUGCAGACAAGAAACAUUUGCUUAUGAGAUGGAGUCACAUGCCAUAGGAAAAAAGCCUGAAAAUCCAGCAGACAUGAUUGAAGAAGGGGAGCUUAUCCUAUCUGUGAAUAUCUUAUACCCUAUUAUAUUUCAUAAGCACAAAGAACACAAACCAUACCAGACGAUGCUGGUGUUGGGCAGUCAGAAGCUCACGGAACUGAGAGAUUCAAUUUGCUGUGUCAGUGACCUCCAGAUUGGUGGGGAAUUCAGCAACACUCCUGAUCAAGCUCCUGAGCACAUAAGCAAAGACCUGUACAAAUCAGCCUUCUUUUAUUUUGAAGGGACAUUUUACAAUGAUAAAAGAUACCCCGAGUGCAGAGAUUUGAGCAGAACUAUCAUUGAAUGGUCAGAGUCCCAUGACAGAGGCUAUGGAAAAUUUCAGACCGCUAAAAUGGAAGAUUUCACCUUCAACGACCUGUAUAUUAAACUGGGUUUUCCUUACUUAUAUUGUCACCAGGGAGACUGUGAGCACGUUGUUGUCAUUACUGACAUAAGGCUUGCACAUUGUGAUGACUGCUUGGAUAGGACACUUUAUCCCCUUCUUAUCAAGAAGCAUUGGCUGUGGACCAGAAAAUGUUUUGUUUGUAAAAUGUACACAGCCAGAUGGGUGACAAACAAUGACAGUUUUGCACCAGAGGACCCAUGUUUCUUUUGUGAUGUUUGCUUUCGGAUGCUCCACUAUGAUUCAGAAGGCAACAAACUAGGAGAAUUCCUUGCUUAUCCUUAUGUUGAUCCUGGAACCUUUAACUAAUAAUAACAAAAAAUGUACUUUGUGAAGUAACUGUCCUCUUGGAUGGUUACUUUAUUUCCAGAACAUGCCACUGAGGAACAGGAUCCACCUGAAAUAAUCAGCUAGUUACCCACACCCCUGCAAAAGUUCACAUCACAGGUUUUCUUUUUUUUUUAAAUCACAGGUUUUCUUAUAAAGUAACUUGUGUUUAGAAAUCUUUUAGUAUUUAUUUCAAAAUAGGGUUUUUAUUUAGUGUAUUUGCCCAUUUUUAAGUGUGUUUAUCAUACUAAGUUGUAGGAGUACUUUAUAUUUUUUUGAAUACAAAUCCUGUCAGAUUCAAGUAUUCUGGUUUUUAGCCAGUCUGUGGCUUGUCUAAUCAUUCUGUGUCCAGAGUACUUUUUGCUAAUCUAUAGUUAGAAAAAUUCAGUUAAUCAUACAUCAAGUGGUGGAAGUAUUUUGAAAAUUCCUUGAAGAAUGUGAGAGCUAUACCUUGUACCAUGAGGCUUCCAAGGUUAUUUAUUUAAAUUCAACUGAGUUCCACAUUCCCUGGAUGGCUAAGAACAGAGAUUUACCAUACAAAUCAAAAACUGAUGAAGCCUUUAAGCCUGUAUGUUUAAAAGAUUGGCAGUGAAAUGUUUUAUGGACUUAGAUGACAUAUCCAGUUAAGUUGAUUGGUGUGCUGAGGACAAGCACCUGUUUCUGAGAGCGAGAGAGCGAGAGAGCGAGUGAGCGUGUGGGGAGAAGGGCAGAGGGAGAGAAUCCCAAGCAGACUCUGAUUCCAACACAGAAUGCAAUCCCAUGACCCUGAGAUCAUGACCUGAGCCCAAAUCAAGAGUUGGACACUCAACUGACGGAGCCACCCAGGCACCCCGCUUCCUUUAUUUUUAAACUGUAUUCCUUGUAGGUCUUGCAUUAGUAUGCAAGGGUCUGUUCUUUUUUUCUCUCCAAAUUACUUAAAUUCUACUUAGUUAAUAUAUAGUGUAAUAUGUUUAGGUGUUUACUUUGAUUCAUUUUCAUUUCAUAUUCUCAAAACAGCAAAUUCCAAAACAUGCACUGUACUGUCCUAACAAAAGCAUUAGUCCACAUGUGAUCAAUUCAUUUUAGUGGACAAAGAAGACUGUCAAUUAAAACAUUACUGCUAGUGAAAUUUUUUUUUUUUUUAAUUUAAAGAUUUGAUUUGUCAGCACGCACAAGCAGGGGGAACGGCAGGAACAGGGAGAAGCACAAGCUCCCCGCUGAGCGAGGAGCCCGCUGAGCAAGGAGCCCGAUGCGGGACUUGAUCUCAGGGCCCUGGGAUCAUGAUCUAAGCCAAAGGCAGACGCUUAACCGACUGAGCCACCCAGGCGUCCCUUAUUUUAUCAUUUAUUAAGAAUCUCAUCCUUCUGGUUCUUGAGGGUAACUUUUCCAGCAAAGUUAACACAAAGACAUUUGAGCCUUUGUGUUAUCAGUUCCUCUUGUGAAAUCUAGAGGAAGACUGACCAACCUAGCCACUCCCAGAAAUUUUGCCCAUGUUUAUCAGUUAUACAGGUGUCCCACCAAAUUCAGGUCAAAAGACCUUCCAAGUUUAAAACAGGCCUAAAAGAGGUCUUGAAUUAAGUAUUUUAUAGCUAUAAAUUUUGAUAUUAAACAUGACCUAAAUUAUAUAUGUCAUUUUACUAAUGAAGAAAAGCAAAUAUGGUAAUGAACUUAUAAAUCAGCAUCCUCUGUAGUUAGAAAUGAGAUUUUGAUAUAAUAAUGGAUGAACAUGCACAAAAAGCACUAUUUAGAAAAGCAAUACCUGUUUCUUUAGAUAUCUUUUUCAGCCUUUGGUAUCCUGGUAAGGAUAAUUUUACCUUCUCCUAAUCAAAUCAUAAUGUCUUUAUUAUCUCUAAGGUUAGAGAAUUCCAUAGCACAAAUACGAAAACAUUUCUACCUAUAUAGCAACUUCAUUUCUUAAGGUUUGUAAUUAUGGGUUUGCUAUUUCCAAUAGAUCAUCCUUUCUCUGACCAAUGGGACAAAAUAAGGUGUUUGUUAGUGAAGCCCUCACAGAGCCUUGUAAGCCUUUGCUUUUAUAUAGGAUUAGUGGGCAGACCUCCUCCUGACCGGACAUCUUCAAUCAGGUAAGUGUGUGUCAGUACAUACAGUGUAUCAGCAAAAACUGGGUAAAAAAGAUCAUCCUAUUUGAAACUGCAGCAUGUAAUAGAAGGUUUAAUUAAGAUCAUCAAGUUGUUGAUACAGUUUCUCCAGUUCAGAUGACACCUCUGCAAUCUCCAGAGCAGCUGAGAAAGCUUCCAGCAAUUCAUUCUGCAGGGCCGUCCAUAGCUUACUCUUAAAUGUUGGCCAGUAGGUUUAAAUAGCACAAAAUAGGUGGUUUAUACAUGCCCCCCGCAAAGAGAAGAAAAUAUCUUCUCUUUUGCUAUUUCGUUUAAAUUAUCUUAGUGACUUGUUCAGCAGUGGAGUUUUGAUCAAAUACGCAAUUAAAAUGGAGCAAAUGCUCCUGAAAGUUUAGUAUUUAUGACUUAAGAGUUCGGAGAGUGGUAGUCACCUGUGAAUCAGCUUAUGACCCAACAGAAAAUGGAAGGGCAGUUAUAUUUUCACACUGUAUUAAUCAACUGUUUUGAGCAAGGCCAGCCCAAAAAAAACAUACAUAAAUUAUCAGAAUGCUGCUAUAUGUAUCUCCUGAAGUUGAAUAUUCUGUGGUUUCCUAGUAAACUAUAUUGCUGUGUUGCUGGGUUAUAGAAUAAAAUAACAAACAUUUUUAGCUUACUAUAUUUAGUUACCCUAUCUAUCUCCCCAGACAACACAAUCUCUGUAAUACCAAGCUAACCAAGAAAUUACUCCCUUGGAAGCAAAUCCAGAAUUCCAAAACCACUUUUGUAAAUAGCAAAUAAUUAAUUUACUAGUAGAGUUUGAUAGAAAAAUCCUUUAAUCAAAACAAGUUUACAAUGUUGACACUUAUGGCUUAACUAGAUUAAGUCUGUCCAAAUUUAAAUUGUAUUAAGGACCAGAUAAAAUGUAGUAUCAAUAGUUCCCUCAAAACAGUAGGUCCCAGUUCCAUUGUAAGACCUCUCAAAAAGCAAAACUCCAAUUACUGAAAUAAUUCAAACUAUUCAUUUAUAGAUGAAAACCAUUAUCUGAGAGGUCAGAACAUACAAUGCAUGUCACAUGCAAACACUGGUAUUAAGCCUCUUCUCCGUAUUCAUAUUUUCAAAACAUGAGAAGUCUUUUAGCUACUGAAACCACCAACUGACCUAAUAAUCAAAAUAUCUUAAAAAUGCUAUCUGUUAAGUUACCCUUAAAUUUUGUUAACCUUGGUUUACCCUGAUUUAGUCCAUAUAUAUGAAUAUACAGACUACCAAAGUACUCCUUUACUUUAACUGCCUCGGAGCAACAUAUAUUUUCUACUUACAAUUCUGUCACAUGGAGGAUCUCUAAGAAUCCCCUUCUGAUAGAGCCAUGUUUUCAAAUAGGUUAGUUUUUCUUAUAUAGCAUUUACUUCUACUAUUUACUGCAUAAGAAUCAUGGAAUUUUUUUUCCCAAUUAAAAAAAUACUUAGUGACUUCCUUAAUGAGUGUGACUUUUUAAAAAUUCAGAAACGUGAGACAGUUCUCAAAAAUAAACUUUUAUCAUUUUUUAGUUUCAGCUAUUAGUGCCUGUAAAGGAUCUCAGAUGGCUGAACCCUAAAGCCAGAUUCAUUCCUAAACAUACCCCCUUCUCCUUGCUGUAGAAGUCACGUGACCUCACUGACUUCCCAGCCAUAAAACUAAGUUACCUUCAAAAGUUAGCAUGAGUUUUGUACCUUGUAGAAUUGUCAGUUGGAUAUCUCUAGUUGUCAUACAAAAGGCAAACAGACCACAAAUUGUUUGUUACAAAGCAGCAGGAUGAUGUAGCACAAUGUAGACUGUGAAAUUAAAAUUAACUUUUGAUAAAAGGAGUGAGUACUUGUAUAGAAGUAACAUUUUAUCUACCAUAAAAAUGCGUAACUUCUACAAAACCCACAAACAGUGAAAAGACAGUCUGGUAAAUCCAAGGUUUGUAAAAACUAUGCACAAAACCCACAGUAUUUGGGAAAAGAGGAAAGGUUUAUACAAGUAGCAGUUUUAAAAAUGUAACUUUUUUCUACUAUUACACAUUAACAUACACACACUAAUUGAAAUUAUGCUACAACCAAAUGUCUGGAAAAGCAGUUUAACAUUUCCUAAAUGGGUUUUCCCUCACAUUUACUGAAUAGUGUAGCUGUUAAUACUGCACAAGUACAAUUAGCAAUAAUGUUUAAUGACUUUUAAACAAAUAUAAAGGGAUUUUUCUCCCUCAAAACAAGUUUUCAACAUCAAAACCUAUGCUUAUAAAAAUUUAAAACUUUCAGCAGUCUAAAUAUUUCAAAUGAAAACCAUUACAAACUCUUCAAAUGUUCUUUAUAUUCCAGGUAUGUCAACCUAAUUAUCUAGUGUAGAAUCCUUCAGAGAUAUUUCAGGCUCUCUCUCUUCACUGGAUGGCCUAAAGGAAGGAAAGAAAGGUGUGUCAAGUGGGAUUAGGGGCUUUUCUCCUUCAUGGGGGUCAGAGAACACAUUAAAUCCGUGCAUUGUUUUUAUUUUUAAAAUAAUUUGAUGAUCAUCAAGUUAUUUUAAAAAAUCUUGACUUUUUGUUCAAAAUUUAAUUUUCCGUGUUGUAUCUUCUUCCUAAAGUAAUAUUCAGAUCAAGCAAAUUAACUCAGGGAAGCAUCAUGGCUCAGGCCCUUUCCAUCAUUUCCAGCUUUAAAUAAAAAACAUGAAAAGGUUAUAUCUGUGAUACCAACAUAUUACAAACCUUAAUAAGGAGAGGGUCGAUGACAUAGACACAGAUAAGAUUUCCCUGAAUUUCAGAAUUAGAAGGGAUGCUUGAUUCCAAGUCCUUCAAACGUGCAGAACAAACCAAGACUAGGAUAACUACAGUCCAAUAACUAGUUAUUUAGAGGCUAUAUACAAAACAGCCUGUGAUUCUAGAUCUUAUUUUUGUAUUACCCAGUCACAAUGCAAGAAAGUAUGAAUGAUAUCACUAUUAAAGCUGUUAUCAGUGAAAGAAGUCCAAAGAUGAAUAGUUACUUUAAACUGGAUUCCUACUAUCUAGCUCUAUUCCCUUUGAGUACAGGCAAGUUAAAUGUAAAUUAUAAAGUUUUUUGCUUUUUGCCGUUUUGAUUUGUAUCUUGCUUCCUGAGUUCAGGAAUUGAGUGAUCAAAAUACAAUCCUAUAUAAAUAACCUUGGAACAGCAAUGUGACUUAAAAAUUAAAAAUAUACAUGACCCAUUAAAACACGUCCUCACUUUUUCUUACUGCUGGCCUCGUGGUUGUCUUUGCUUUCUUCACUGCUGUCUCCAUUAUGUUGUGGUUGAUUACUGUCUUGAGCAUCGGAGCCUCCAUUUAGAGUCUUUGAACCUUUAAAAAGGUUCCAAUGGAAAAACUGUUAGAGCUUCUAGUACUUUAAGAUGUCCUCUAAAGAGCCAAAAUAAAAAAUAAAACCUGGCCCUAAAGUUUCUAAUACUUAAUACACCUUAUUUGAAAUUACACUGUAAUCUUUUGGGUAGCUGAGGCACACUAAAUAGCAGGGUUACUAUAUAUGGGUACAAGAAAGGGGGGCUUUUUAAAGAUUUCAUUUAUUUUAGACAGUAUGUGUGUACAAGCGGGGGGGGGGGGGCCAAAGGAGAAGAGAGGAUCUCAAGUAGACACCGUGCUCCAUCUCACAAUCUUGAGAUCAUGACCUGAGCCGAAAUCAACAGUUGGACAUUCAACCAAGCCACCCAGGCGCCAAAAGCGGGGGUGGGGGGGCCCUUUUAAUCUGGUCAUUCCCUUUCUUAUAAAAUUUUACUAUGAUGCACAUUUUUAUAUCUUUCCUUGGUAUUUUACAACGAGGUGUCAAAAGUACGAUUCUUAACACGAUUUUGUGUCCUACCUAAGUAAAUAAGGAGGGCAUCCCUGUAAAUCCUAUUUCUAAGAAAUCUCUAAGGAGACCUAGAUCAUCAUUCCCUAAUAAAUAAAAUCUCCAACUCCUAAAGACAUUUGAUAAAUUGGAAUUGGGGGAGCCGAUAAUGAAUGACACUAUGUUCUAUUUAAGAAUCCAUCACAGAUACAUCCUAACAUAUUUGUGGUUGAAAUAGCGUAUCUGGAAUUUGCUUCACAGAGAAACCUGGUAAGGGUAAAAAAGAGCAACGAUCAUUUACUGAUAAAUGCAGGAGCUGAGUGAUGGGAACACGGGAAGUUCCUUUCUUGUCUACUAUUGUCAGAAAUUAUUCCUACUUUAAGUGAAAAGAGAACAGCAACUGCUAAUUUAAGCUUGAUUAUAACUGAUUUAAACAGAAAUGCUCAACCUUAGCUUCUGUUUUUCUAAGUGCUUUAUGAAACCUUAGAUAAGGUAUUAAUGAAAUUAUACAUCAAAGCCAUUUUUUAAAAGCAGUCCCAGCAAACAACUUAUCAUCACAUACCUGUUUGUUCCUUUUCUAGCUUUUUGUUUGGCCCUUUCUUCCCUUGAUCUUUGGUUUUAUUUGCUUCCUCAUGCUGUCUUUGUUCGGCAAGAGAUUUAUUCAGCACUUGUGUGAUCACAGAAUCUCCUUCACCAACCAAAAACAUAUUCUUAAACUUGUUAUACAGCAUUGUAGACUUUUCCAUGAUAACCUGGCUAACUUUGAAUCGCCGUAUCUGAGAAAACAAAAUAGACACUCACAAUUGUUUUCUUCACUGAUUUGUAAAAUGGUACUUCUCAAUGAACUGUUGAUGAGGAAAUUUUCACACUCUGCACGACUCUGGAUCACUUACUUUUUUCAGUGUUGUAAUCAUUUCUGUGUGCUUCUGAGCUUGCUGCAUUGUGACCUGAAGUGAAGCAAGUUCAUCCAAGGCCUCAAUACAUCUGUUCACAUCCUUCAUGACAAGACAGUAAUUUCAUAGCUGUUAAUCACCACACCCUAUAUGAUCUAGUCCUAAAGUUUACUUUUAAAAUCUCAAAACAAGGCAGUACAAAAGAACCAGUAGUAGUCGCAUUUUUCUUAAAUUUACACAUACUUAUAAAACAUGAGAAAAAAUAUGAAGCUAUAAAAGGAGUACUAUAUUUUUAAAUGAGGUAUUUAUAAAGACUUACAAGAUUAUCAAUUUUGAGUGAAUUUUUAAUUUCAGCAUGUAUCCUUUGAAGUCGAGAAUCCAUUGAUGUUUCUAUAAAUUAAAAUUUAAAACACAGUAAAUAAUUUUUCCAAAACCAGUAUUUCUAUAUAAAUCUAAUAGGCAAAGCACAAUGACAAGAUUUGAAUUUUUAAAAAUGUUCUUCAUAAUCUGCCUAGUUCACCAAGAAGUUAUUUGCCAUUUUAAGUAUUUAGGAAAACAACAUUCAUCAUUUGAAGAAAAAAAUCACCAUCUAGCUACAUAAGUUUCUAAAAUAAGCAGUCUGUAUCCAGUUAAUAAACCCCUCUAUUCCAAUCCUUAAACAGCUGUUUUACCUUACUUACACAUGUGACCAGAAAUAGAAACUCUUAUCUGAAACCAUGAGAUUUGUCAAAAAUGGGAAAAUAUCUAGCUUUUGGCAAUGUUACAAAAAUGUGACCAUUAGAUAAUGAGCAAUAAAACUAGCCUGAGUCCUUAGCAAAUGCACCUAAUCAAAAUAUAAUGUAUACAGAAUUCAUCAGGGAUUUGAAAAAGCACUUUUGUAGGAUUUAAGAACAUAAAAUGACUGAUUUUAAAACCUAUACAUGAAAAAUUAAGGAUAUAAUUUCCUAUUAAUUUAAACAUCUUAGAAAGUGAAAUAACUAACCUCGCUUCUUCUCCACUUUCUUAACUUCUGGCUUCUUUCCUUCAUCUUUAUUCUGCCUAUCAAAUGUUAACACAAAUAUUUCAAAACAUUGGAACUUUGUGACUGAUUACCAAAUGCCCACAAUCCCUUAGGUAAAAGCUAAAAAUUUUUUUAAGAUAGAAAAUCAAUAGCCUAGGUCAUAAGGAAUUGACUAUAAUUCAUAGAACUCUGGGAUGCCACAGCAUUAGUAUUAAUUACUAAAACACAUGUAAAAAUUAACAUGCUAAAAUCUAACUUUUCAGUGGCAUCACAAAUAAUUUUAACACUUGUCAUGGUGAAAUUUUUUUCCAACAGUACAAAGUGUUAAAGACCCAAUUUCAGGGUCAGUGGACAAGCAGACCACAGUGGGAAAGAGAAUGCCUAUAAACAUUUCAUGAGUUCUACAUCACAAUUAUUUUUAGAAGUAGCGUGUCAAAAACACUAAUUUUUCCCACAUCUCCAAAAGGGUAGAUAAUUGGAGGGGUUAAGUUUCUAGGUUAAACAGACUGUUCAAAGAUGAUACUAUUGUAUUAAAAUGGCUUUUUUUGGCUAAUAUAUCAAACUUAAAUGACAUUCACUGACAUUUACAUACCAUUUCACAAAAGAAAAGGUAGCAUUUUACUGCAAAUCACAAAAAUAACCAUUUAAAAAUGAGUUCUUAAUUUCUAGUACCUUGGCUUUGAGUUCGGGCCCUAUUAUAAACCAAUUGAAAUAGACAAGAACAAAACAAUAUCUAAAAAUCAGGUUGUUUUUUUUUAAAAAAACUUUAUUUUAAAAUUUUGGUUACAGUUUCAUUUUUGUUUUCUUAACAAGUCUACUGUUUAAUCUCUCAAGAUUAAAAAAAACAAUUAUUAAGAGUCUAAAGAAUUAAACAACAAAGGAAUGUCAAGGGAAGGGCACAACUGCCCCAUUCUCUGGGGUAUAAGAGCUAUUCCAGUUUAACACCUAGCUUCAAAACAAAAUGAAUUUUUAUAUUUUCUAAAUGAAAUAAUGUACAACCACCAUCUUCUAACUUUCAAACACAAAGCUUCAUCUUAAGCUUGGUAAAAAAAAACUUUAACAGGAAUGAUGGCCGACCUUGGUAUGUAGUGUGUACCUUACAGGAAUUUUUUUUUUUUUUUUUAACAAUCAUAACACAGUAAUAAUGCCAUUAAUGAAGUCCUCAAUUUAGAAUCUGCAACAUUCUUCCAUCAAGGGGGGGGAGGGGGAAAUUCAGUCCAAUGAGUCUGUCUCAAGAUCUUCAUCUCUUGUUUGCUCCACUUGUAUUCUCUUUUCAGUAACUGGAUUAAUGCUUUGAGCCCAAAAUGAGAUAUAUUUUUUAUUACUGUAGAUUACAUGUUGUUUGGCUGGGAAUACAAUACAAUAAACUUUAUUUUGCAUAAUGCAUUUCACACAAGCUGCAUCUGAAAUGCUUUACAGAGCAAAACUGUCCAAGUACAAAGUUUUGUAAUAACAGGAGAAGGAAAGAAAACACAAAUAUUAGAAUUUGAGAAAGUUACAUUCGGAGGACAUUCAAAAAGAAACUGAAACACAAAGGUAACUUUGAGAUACUGAAGAAGGGUUGGGGCUAGAUUUACUAAGCAAUGACUAAUUUUAUAUCCUAAUUUGGGGAGCACAAUAAAGUUAAAAGCAACAAACAGUCCAACAACUUUUCAGUGAAAGGAUAGGAAAGGAUAGGUAACAAAAAAUAACUUUAAUUUACAGAAAUGGUCAAAAGUCUAACAGAAUAGAGGGAGUAACAUUUUUGAGCUUUAGAUCAAUUUUUAAAUUACUCCCCUCAAGCAGAUGAAACUGCUUAUAUAAUCCUCCUCCAAACAACUAAGAAAGCAGAAUAGUCAAAUGCUAUACUUGUAGAGAGACUUUUGGCUUACAAAUGUAUUUUAUAAAGAAAAAGUACAAAAUUACUUAACGAAUUCACUACUUAUCAUUAAGUUUGUCUUAGUGACCUACAGCAUGUGUUUAAAAUCACCUCCAUUAACAAAAAAAAAAACACCACCACCAAGUUUAGUCAGAAUAAUGCAAGA